RNAcentral lists this long non-coding RNA (1110 nucleotides) under Piliocolobus tephrosceles (Ugandan red Colobus). RNAcentral's name for it is "lncRNA (ENSPTEG00000014800.1)". The record is from RNAcentral. Lineage: Eukaryota; Metazoa; Chordata; Mammalia; Primates; Cercopithecidae.
UAAUAUAAACCCUACUUCAGAAGAGGAAUUACAAAAAUUUUGUAACAACUAUUUCAGAGUAUAUCAAUUUUCUGUAAGAGCUUUUUUUUUAUUUUAACAUAAUACUAUUUUUUUUUUUUAACAUGUCACUAUUUUUUUUUUAAUAUUUAUUUAUUUUUUUAUUUUUUUUAUAAUAAAUAUUUUGUAUAUCUUUAUUUGUUUAUUUUGAUCUAUAACUAAAAACAAAAUACAUAAGUUAGGUAUAUGACACAUUAUAUUAAUUCUAAUUUCAAUUAUAAUCUUAAUCUUAAUCUUAUUUUAUUUUUUUUUUUUUUUUUUUUUCCUGCAUUAUUUUUGCAGUUUUAUAACUUUAUUAGAAGACUCAUGUCGGUCGAUGCUAUUGCUGUGUAUACCGUAUUUAUCUCUGUGUAUAUAUUUUCAGGAUUGCGAGUUGAAUCAACGUCAAAUUAUGUUUUCUUGGAUUCAAUGAUUUCUUUAGGUAUAAACAUAGUCAUUUUAAUUAUAAUCGAAUCGCUCUUUGAAAUUAAACAUUACCAAGAAGCAAAAAAUGCGAACUCACAAAAUUACACUCGGAUAGUUCCAGAAAAUUACGUUUUUGAAAAAGUUAUGACUAAAGAUAUUAAAGUAGGUAAUAUAAUUAGAAUUUAUCGAGAUGAAGAGUUCCCAGCCGAUGCAGUAAUACUUCAUUCAGAAAAUAAUUCAAGUGUGAUUGUCAAUUCGUUUGGACUGGAUGGUGUUUGUAAAGAUAGUAUAAAACAUCCUGUGCAAAAGUAUAAAAGUAAAAAUAUAAUAUUAUACACAUAUAUACAUAUAUAUAUGUACAUAUAUAUAUAUAUAUAUAUNNNNNNNNNNUUUUAUGACUGUUGGAGAACAUAUGGUAGUACACACUAACAUAGGGACUGUCAGUAAUGUCAACAUUAGUACCAACGUCAAUAGCAGUUGUAAUAGUAACAACUGUAAGGUUAAUAAUAGAUACAGCUUAUAUAAUUGUGGAGAAGCAAAAGACAACCGAAUGUACCAACAGCACGAGAGUAAAGACCACUAUCCAUUAAGAUAUAACUGCUCACAAAAAAAAAUAAAUAAUGAAAAUAUACCUGUUGAAGAAGAUUG